RNAcentral lists this ribosomal RNA (253 nucleotides) under uncultured bacterium. RNAcentral describes it as "partial 16S ribosomal RNA". It matches the Rfam family "Bacterial small subunit ribosomal RNA", at positions 524 to 776 of the family's 1533-position model. The record is from RNAcentral.
UACGGAGGGUGCAAGCGUUGUCCGGAAUCACUGGGCUUAAAGGGCGCGUAGGCGGGCCGUCAAGUCAGGGGUGAAAGCCCCCAGCUCAACUGGGGAAGUGCCUCUGAUACUGGCGGCCUCGAGGGAGGUAGGGGCGUGCGGAACUUCCGGUGGAGCGGUGAAAUGCGUAGAUAUCGGAAGGAACACCGGUGGCGAAAGCGGCGCGCUGGACCUCUUCUGACGCUGAGGCGCGAAAGCCAGGGGAGCGAACGGG